This 265-nucleotide unclassified non-coding RNA is filed under the name Curvularia lunata. RNAcentral's name for it is "partial internal transcribed spacer region". The stretch from base 1 to 46 matches the Rfam family "Eukaryotic small subunit ribosomal RNA", at positions 1786 to 1831 of the family's 1831-position model. The record is from RNAcentral. RNAcentral also lists the same sequence under 4 other names. Lineage: Eukaryota; Fungi; Ascomycota; Dothideomycetes; Pleosporales; Pleosporaceae.
AAGUCGUAACAAGGUCUCCGUAGGUGAACCUGCGGAGGGAUCAUUACACAAUAAAAUAUGAAGGCUGUACGCGGCUGUGCUCUCGGGCCAGUUUUGCGGAGGCUGAAUUAUUUAUUACCCUUGUCUUUUGCGCACUUGUUGUUUCCUGGGCGGGUUCGCCCGCCACCAGGACCACAUCAUAAACCUUUUUUAUGCAGUUGCAAUCAGCGUCAGUAUAACAAAUGUAAAUCAUUUACAACUUUCAACAACGGAUCUCUUGGUUCUG